This 301-nucleotide ribosomal RNA is filed under the name uncultured bacterium. RNAcentral's name for it is "partial 16S ribosomal RNA". It matches the Rfam family "Archaeal small subunit ribosomal RNA", at positions 459 to 760 of the family's 1478-position model. The record is from RNAcentral.
CAGUCGCCACGGUAAUACCAGCACCUCGAGUGGUCAGGAGGUUUAUUGGGCCUAAAGCAUCCGUAGCCGGUUGCAUAAGUUUUCGGUUAAAUCUAUGCGCUUAACGUAUAGGCCGCCGAAAAUACUGUGCAGCUAGGGAGUGGGAGAGGUACACGGUACUCGAUAGGAAGGGGUAAAAUCCUUUGAUCUAUUGAUGACCACCUGUGGCGAAGGCGGUGUACCAGAACACGUUCGACGGUGAGAGAUGAAAGCUGGGGGAGCAAACCGGAUUAGAUACCCCCGUAGUCCCUGUCUCUUAUAC